This 263-nucleotide ribosomal RNA is filed under the name uncultured bacterium. RNAcentral's name for it is "partial 16S ribosomal RNA". It matches the Rfam family "Bacterial small subunit ribosomal RNA", at positions 98 to 354 of the family's 1533-position model. The record is from RNAcentral.
GCGAACGGCAGAGUAACAGGAGGCAACCUGCCCUUAGCUCCGGGAUAGCUCCGGGAAACCGGAAUUUACANCGGAUACGAUCAAAGGGUCGAAAGAUCUGAGGAGGAAAGGUGGCGCAAGCUGCCGCUCUUGGAGGGGCUCGCGGCCUAUCAGCUAGUUGGCGGGGUAACGGCCCACCAAGGCUAUGACGGGUAGCUGGUCUGAGAGGACGACCAGCCACACGGGGACUGAGACACGGCCCCGACUCCUACGGGAGGCAGCAG